CCUGGCUCAGGAUGAACGCUAGCUACAGGCUUAACACAUGCAAGUCGAGGGGCAGCAUGAACUUAGCUUGCUAAGUUUGAUGGCGACCGGCGCACGGGUGAGUAACACGUAUCCAACCUGCCGAUGACUCGGGGAUAGCCUUUCGAAAGAAAGAUUAAUACCCGAUGGCAUAGUUCUUCCGCAUGGUAGAACUAUUAAAGAAUUUCGGUCAUCGAUGGGGAUGCGUUCCAUUAGGUUGUUGGCGGGGUAACGGCCCACCAAGCCUUCGAUGGAUAGGGGUUCUGAGAGGAAGGUCCCCCACAUUGGAACUGAGACACGGUCCAAACUCCUACGGGAGGCAGCAGUGAGGAAUAUUGGUCAAUGGACGAGAGUCUGAACCAGCCAAGUAGCGUGAAGGAUGACUGCCCUAUGGGUUGUAAACUUCUUUUAUACGGGAAUAAAGUGAGGCACGUGUGCCUUUUUGUAUGUACCGUAUGAAUAAGGAUCGGCUAACUCCGUGCCAGCAGCCGCGGUAAUACGGAGGAUCCGAGCGUUAUCCGGAUUUAUUGGGUUUAAAGGGAGCGUAGGCGGACGCUUAAGUCAGUUGUGAAAGUUUGCGGCUCAACCGUAAAAUUGCAGUUGAUACUGGGUGUCUUGAGUACAGUAGAGGCAGGCGGAAUUCGUGGUGUAGCGGUGAAAUGCUUAGAUAUCACGAAGAACUCCGAUUGCGAAGGCAGCCUGCUGGACUGUAACUGACGCUGAUGCUCGAAAGUGUGGGUAUCAAACAGGAUUAGAUACCCUGGUAGUCCACACAGUAAACGAUGAAUACUCGCUGUUUGCGAUAUACAGUAAGCGGCCAAGCGAAAGCGUUAAGUAUUCCACCUGGGGAGUACGCCGGCAACGGUGAAACUCAAAGGAAUUGACGGGGGCCCGCACAAGCGGAGGAACAUGUGGUUUAAUUCGAUGAUACGCGAGGAACCUUACCCGGGCUUAAAUUGCAACUGAAUGAUGUGGAGACAUGUCAGCCGCAAGGCAGUUGUGAAGGUGCUGCAUGGUUGUCGUCAGCUCGUGCCGUGAGGUGUCGGCUUAAGUGCCAUAACGAGCGCAACCCUUAUCGAUAGUUACCAUCAGGUGAUGCUGGGGACUCUGUCGAGACUGCCGUCGUAAGAUGUGAGGAAGGUGGGGAUGACGUCAAAUCAGCACGGCCCUUACGUCCGGGGCUACACACGUGUUACAAUGGGGGGUACAGAAGGCAGCUACACGGCGACGUGAUGCUAAUCCCGAAAGCCUCUCUCAGUUCGGAUUGGAGUCUGCAACCCGACUCCAUGAAGCUGGAUUCGCUAGUAAUCGCGCAUCAGCCACGGCGCGGUGAAUACGUUCCCGGGCCUUGCACACACCGCCC
This 1381-nucleotide ribosomal RNA is filed under the name uncultured bacterium. RNAcentral describes it as "bacterial SSU rRNA". It matches the Rfam family "Bacterial small subunit ribosomal RNA", at positions 18 to 1395 of the family's 1533-position model. The record is from RNAcentral.